AUUCCUUUAAGUUUCAAUCUUGCGACCGUACUUCCCAGGCGGCAGACUUAACGGCUUCCCUGCGGCACUGCAUUGGCAAGAAGCCAAUGCAUCACCGAGUCUGCAUCGUUUACAGCUGGGACUACCCGGGUAUCUAAUCCGGUUUGCUCCCCCAGCUUUCAUCCCUCACUGUCGAACGUGUUCUGGCAGACCGCCUUCGCCACUGGUGGUCCUCAAAGGAUCAGAGGAUUUUACCCCUACCCCCCGAAUACCGUCUGCCUCUCCCACUCCCUAGUCUUGUAGUAUCUCCAGCGGCCCAUCUGUUAAGCAGGUGGAUUUAACCGGAGACUUGCAAAACCAGCUACGGAUGCUUUAGGCCCAAUAAUCGUCCUGAC
RNAcentral lists this ribosomal RNA (374 nucleotides) under uncultured archaeon. RNAcentral describes it as "partial 16S ribosomal RNA". The record is from RNAcentral.